AAAGAUUAAGCCAUGCAUGUCUAAGUAUCCACUAUCUAAUCGUGAAACCGCGAAUGGCUCAUUAUAACAGCUAAAAUCUACUUGAUCUUGACACAAUCCUACUUGGAUAACUGUGGUAAUUCUAGAGCUAAUACAUGCAUUAAAGCUCUGACCUCACGGGAAGAGUGCACUUAUUAGAACAAAACCAAGCGGCUUCGGCUGUUUCUGGUUGACUCAUAGUAACUGAGCUGAUCGCACGGUCCUGCACCGGCGACGUGUCUUUCGAGUAUCUGCCGUAUCAACUUUCGAUGGUAGUGUAUCUGACUACCAUGGUGAUCACGCGUAACGGAGAAUAAGGGUUCGGCUCCGGAGAGUUCGCCUGAGAAAUCGCGAACACAUCUAAGGAAGGCAGCAGGCGCGAAAAUUACCCACUCUCAGCACGAGGAGGUAGUGACGAAAAAUAACGAGACCGUUCUCUUAUGAGGCCGGUCAUCGGAAUGGGUACAAUUUAAACCCUUUAACGAGUAUCUAUGAGAGGGCAAGUCUGGUGCCAGCAGCCGCGGUAAUUCCAGCUCUCAAAGUGCAUAGAAUUAUUGCUGCGGUUAAAAAGCUCGUAGUUGGAUCUGUGCCAUAGGACGUGGUCCACCUUCUGGGUGCGUACUAUGUUCCUAGGCUUUUUGCUGGUUUUCCCGUCGUUGCCAUAACUGGUUGCGGCGGGUGGCUGGCGAGUUUACUUUGAGAAAAUCAGAGUGCUCAACACAGGCGUAUCGCUUGAAUGAUUGUGCAUGGAAUAAUAGAAAAGGAUUUCGGUCCUCUUUUUUUGGUUUUGUGGAUUGAGAUAAUGGUUAACAGGGACCAACGGGGGCUUUCGUUUCGCUGCGUGAGAGGCGAAAUUCUU
This 877-nucleotide ribosomal RNA is filed under the name Chiloplacus propinquus. RNAcentral describes it as "SSU rRNA". It matches the Rfam family "Eukaryotic small subunit ribosomal RNA", at positions 39 to 921 of the family's 1831-position model. Lineage: Eukaryota; Metazoa; Nematoda; Chromadorea; Rhabditida; Cephalobidae. The record is from RNAcentral.